Molecule: transfer RNA, 72 nt
Filed under: Pteropus alecto (black flying fox)
Lineage: Eukaryota; Metazoa; Chordata; Mammalia; Chiroptera; Pteropodidae
Rfam family: tRNA
About the family: Transfer RNA (tRNA) molecules are approximately 80 nucleotides in length. Their secondary structure includes four short double-helical elements and three loops (D, anti-codon, and T loops).
Source: Rfam by way of RNAcentral
GGUUCCAUAGUGUAGUGGUUAGCACAUUGCUUUACACGCAGACGGUCCUGGGUUAGUGCCCCAGUGGAGACA